RNAcentral lists this ribosomal RNA (253 nucleotides) under uncultured bacterium. RNAcentral's name for it is "partial 16S ribosomal RNA". It matches the Rfam family "Bacterial small subunit ribosomal RNA", at positions 524 to 776 of the family's 1533-position model. The record is from RNAcentral.
UACGAAGGUCCCGAGCGUUAUCCGGAUUUAUUGGGUUUAAAGGGUGCGUAGGCGGGUUAUUAAGUCAGUGGUGAAAGCCUUCAGCUUAACUGAAGAAUUGCCAUUGAUACUGAUGAUCUUGAGUAUGAUUGAGGUGGGCGGAAUGUGUCAUGUAGCGGUGAAAUGCUUAGAUAUGACACAGAACACCGAUUGCGAAGGCAGCUCACUAAGCCAUAACUGACGCUGAUGCACGAAAGCGUGGGGAGCAAACAGG